UUGAACGCUGGCGGCAUGCCUUACACAUGCAAGUCGAACGGUAACGCGGGGCAACCUGGCGACGAGUGGCGAACGGGUGAGUAAUGCAUCGGAACGUGCCCAGUAGUGGGGGAUAGCCCGGCGAAAGCCGGAUUAAUACCGCAUACGACCUACGGGUGAAAGCGGGGGACCGCAAGGCCUCGCGCUAUUGGAGCGGCCGAUGUCGGAUUAGCUAGUUGGUGGGGUAAGGCCUACCAAGGCGACGAUCCGUAGCUG
This 255-nucleotide ribosomal RNA is filed under the name uncultured bacterium. Its description in RNAcentral is "partial 16S ribosomal RNA". It matches the Rfam family "Bacterial small subunit ribosomal RNA", at positions 30 to 289 of the family's 1533-position model. The record is from RNAcentral.